RNAcentral lists this small RNA (1698 nucleotides) under Pongo abelii (Sumatran orangutan). RNAcentral's name for it is "retained intron". The record is from RNAcentral. Lineage: Eukaryota; Metazoa; Chordata; Mammalia; Primates; Hominidae.
AUGGCGGCAGUGAGCGGAGUCCGCUGGCUGACCCGAGCGCUGGUCUCCGCCGGGAACCCUGGGGCAUGGAGAGGUCUGAGUACCUCGGCCGCGGCGCACGCUGCAUCGCGGAGCCAGGCCGAGGACGUGAGGGUGGAGGGCUCCUUUCCCGUGACCAUGCUUCCGGGAGACGGUGUGGGGCCUGAGCUGAUGCACGCCGUCAAGGAGGUGUUCAAGGCUGCCGCUGUCCCAGUGGAGUUCCAGGAGCACCACCUGAGUGAGGUGCAGAAUAUGGCAUCUGAGGAGAAGCUGGAGCAGGUGCUGAGUUCCAUGAAGGAGAACAAAGUGGCCAUCAUUGGAAAGAUUCAUACCCCGAUGGAGUAUAAGGGGGAGCUAGCCUCCUAUGAUAUGCGGCUGAGGUAGGUGGUCUGGGUGGAGUGAAUGGUUGAGAGGUGCCAGGGCACCAGGAGCAGAGCUGAUGGCCCUGCCCACCCUCAGGCGUAAGUUGGACUUAUUUGCCAACGUAGUCCAUGUGAAGUCACUUCCUGGGUAUAUGACUCGGCACAACAAUCUAGACCUGGUGAUCAUUCGAGAGCAGACAGAAGGGGAGUACAGCUCUCUGGAACAUGAGGUGAGGCCCCAGAAACUGGGGGAGGGCAAGGAUGAAGAUGGGAGAGAGAUGGAGCUCCUUGUUUCCCUUCCCAGUGUCACCUAGCUGCUGCUCUCUUCUUACCCAGAGUGCAAGGGGUGUGAUUGAGUGUUUGAAGAUUGUCACACGAGCCAAGUCUCAGCGGAUUGCAAAGUUCGCCUUUGACUAUGCCACCAAGAAGGGGCGGAGCAAGGUCAUUGCUGUCCACAAGGCCAACAUCAUGAAACUUGGGGAUGGGUUGUUCCUGCAGUGCUGUGAGGAAGUUGCUGAACUGUACCCCAAAAUCAAAUUUGAGACAAUGAUCAUAGACAACUGCUGCAUGCAGCUGGUGCAGAAUCCUUACCAGUUUGAUGUGCUUGUGAUGCCCAAUCUCUAUGGGAAUAUUAUUGACAAUCUGGCUGCUGGCCUGGUUGGGGGAGCUGGUGUGGUCCCUGGUGAGAGCUAUAGUGCAGAAUACGCAGUCUUUGAGACGGGUGCCCGGCACCCAUUUGCCCAGGCAGUGGGCAGGAAUAUAGCCAAUCCCACGGCCAUGCUGCUAUCGGCUUCCAACAUGCUGCGGCAUCUUAAUCUUGAGUAUCACUCCAGCAUGAUUGCAGAUGCGGUGAAGAAGGUGAUCAAAGUUGGCAAGGUGCGGACUCGAGACAUGGGCGGCUACAGCACCACAACCGACUUCAUCAAGUCUGUCAUCGGUCACCUGCACCCCCAUGGGAGCUAGAGCCCUUUAUUUCUUCCAACCUUGGAAGGACCACACUCCCCAUACCCUUCAGUGCAGUGCACCAGGGAAGAGACCUUGUGCCUCUAGGCAGUAGACCAUGGUCACCUUGCUGGGUAGAGCCUAGGUUGUCCUUGGGCCGGCUUCCUUAGGGUACAGACUGUUGGGUGGUGAUGGGGAUUGUUAGGAUGGAGCCCAGGCUACAUGGAUGAUGAUGAUUCUCCCCACAGGUUCGAACCUCUGACAUGGGUGGCUAUGCUACUUGCCAUGACUUCACUGAGGCUGUCAUUGCUGCCUUGCCCCACCCAUAGGCCCUGUCCAUAUCCAUGUAAGGUGUUCAAUAAAGAACAUGAACCAA